AAGAGCAUCAUAUCAAAGUGUGAUGCUGUUUAGAACUACUUGCUGAGCCUUUAUAGUGCAUGUGUAAACUCUUUGCCAUCUCUUUCGGCACAUCAACAUGAACUAGUUUAAACUAACUGUUGACCAGAGGGAGAAAGAUGGGUUUGUGCAGAAAUGGCAAAGGGAGCUAAGAAGUAUGACAGGUGAUAUUUAUGUAGAAUUCAAACAAGAGCACAAAGCUCAUGUGAGGAGUUGUAUCUGGUUAUGAAACAGCCUGAGAUUAAUAUUGAUGUAUUUACAUGACCUACAUAAGCAAACGAGACCACGAGGAAUAAGAUUGAUUAUUUCUAUAUUGCGGAGAAACAAGUACGUGUUGCGUCUGUGUAAUAGUUCUAAACAUAGUGACUUUCUGAUUGAAAGAAAGCCCUGAAAUGUUCUAAAUAUUGCAUUCUUACCCCAACAUUGCUUUUUAGGUCAGAGUUUCUUAAAAGAAGCUAAAUCACUUGGUAUGAAUGAUCCGGUCUGCAUCGUUGUAUAGCCUAACUUCUGCGCCAGUUUCUCAAUAAAGGGGCUGUGCUGACUGGCAUCUUCUGAGGACAACACAGUAUCUAUGAUGAUACCAGCAUUGCAAAAGAGAAAUAACUAGGCUUUGCAAUCAACAAUUCAUCUGAGCCCAGAAUCACAGCUUUUAAAAAAUAUCCUCUCCUUUUACAAAAUCCAACAUUUGCUUCUCUGUCUUUUGCCUUCACUCAAGCAGCACAGGAGCUCUGAGGCUUUGAUGAGAUGUGUGAGCUAAAAUGUCACAGGGAUUAAGGGGGUUUGCCUCCUGCAUCUUGUCAGAUCAGUCCAACCCGCCUUCUGCUGUGCCUGAGCUCCUUCCUCCUCUACAAACAGGUGCGUAGGGGCACUUCUGUCUGCUCGCCUGUGCCCUAUUGAAUUUUCUUCAGGGGAAAUAACAUUCCUCCAUGUUUACAGAUGAGUGAACAGGGAAUUGGGAAGUUAUGGGGAGGAGAAGAGGAGGAAUGAGUAGAAAAUAAGAGUGGGGAUGAAGAUAUAUAUUCAAGGGGAGUGUCAACAGGGAAGAAAAGAUGAUAGGGUUAAGAUUUGUUUUUUCUUACCUUUGGAUAACCAGGUAUUUUCCUUUAAAUUAGCUUGUAGUAAUCUAACCCAAUCGUAGUUAUCUAUGCCAGUUGUUUCUUAGGUGGAGGUCGCAAGACACUGAUAAGGGGGUCA
Long non-coding RNA from Labrus mixtus (cuckoo wrasse), 1212 nucleotides. RefSeq lists it as uncharacterized. NCBI's taxonomy places the organism in Eukaryota, Metazoa, Chordata, Actinopteri, Labriformes, Labridae. The record is from RefSeq and is a predicted model, not a curated record. The transcript has 3 exons.